This is a long non-coding RNA of Gasterosteus aculeatus aculeatus (three-spined stickleback), 1308 nucleotides long. NCBI's taxonomy places the organism in Eukaryota, Metazoa, Chordata, Actinopteri, Perciformes, Gasterosteidae. The record is from Ensembl.
ACUUGGAUUGGCUGUAAGGAGCAAGGUAGCCCGCAGAGACCGCUCCUUCCCCCGGAUCAGUCCCGUCAGUGGAGCGCGAGGCGCACACACACACACACACACACACACACACUCACGCACACUCACUCACACACGCGCAGCUCACGCACGCGCUGGUCGACACGCGUGAAAGGUGCGACGCAGAGUGGACUCACCGGAGGACUCUGGUAGUGUGCGCUGGACUUAAACGGAGCAUGAAUCUGUCAUCAAGACAUCGAUCCUCGCCUCUAGACAAACCAAGUGAACCUUUCAGGGGGAAAUCACACGCGGGCACAUUUUAAUGCCACAUCCUCCGCGCACGGAGGGCGAUGCACUCGCCUCUUGUUCUUCAGGCUGCCACCGUUUCUACAUGACUGCAUGAACUCAGCGCUGGAUAAAUAUAUAUAUAUAUAUAUAUAUAUAUAUUUUCUGCAGAGACAUUUGUUGUUGUUUUUUGUUGUUGUUGUUGUUUUCUCCUCUCGGUAGUUUUUUUGUUUUGUUAUUUUUGACGGGUUGGAGAUUCCGCGCAACAGAGAGCGGCGGCAGCGCGCGUGUUUGAGCGCAACCUCCCAGUGACUCGGUCGGAGUUUGACUCCCCAUCAUGGGCCACGGUGCGCACACCGCCGGAGAGGGACGAGGAGCGCCCGAGAUGCGGACUGCGUCUUGGCUUUUGGUUAUCCUCCUGAUGGACGUCGGCCUGGCUCAAGCGCAGCGCGGAGAGCGCCGCAGUCUUGCAAGCUACUUCAUAGCAAGCCGAGUCCUAACAUGAAACCGCGCGAUGAGAGGAGCUCAUGCAGAGGGCCAGAAAUGUAGGGCCGAACAUGCUCCGACUGCAGUUGGAAGGUGUGAGAAAAUCCUAACCUCUUCUCAGUUGUUGCGUACCCAUGGCGCCGAGAAGCGGCACUGCUCAAGAAUUGAGAGAUGAAUUAAAGAAAAAAAGUUGAACAUUUUGGGUAAUGUGCUUUUUUUUGUUUGUAAUUAAGUAUUGAUUCUACUCUCGGAUUUGUAAGCACAGCAUGAAGCCGCUGUGAGCGGCGCUUAGCUUAGCUUAGCACAAAGAAUGUAGAAAGGGGGAAACAUUUACCUCUGUCUAAAGGUAACAAACAACCCUGUAGAAGGGAAAUGGCGCUGGUAGAUUUCCUUCAACCAGAUAUUUUUACCCAGUAACUGAGGGAAAUUAAGAAAAUCUGACCGACAGUGAAUACUGUACAUAAACCACGUGCAUUGAAACGACACAAAGAGGCGUCUCUGAGAACUGCAUCCACAACACACUGCCGCUUUGAUAGGUGA